This 425-nucleotide ribosomal RNA is filed under the name uncultured bacterium. RNAcentral describes it as "partial 16S ribosomal RNA". It matches the Rfam family "Bacterial small subunit ribosomal RNA", at positions 354 to 796 of the family's 1533-position model. The record is from RNAcentral.
GUGGGGAAUCUUGCGCAAUGGGCGAAAGCCUGACGCAGCCAUGCCGCGUGAAUGAUGAAGGUCUUAGGAUUGCAAAAUUCUUUCACCGGGGACGAUAAUGACGGUACCCGGAGAAGAAGCUCCGGCUAACUUCGUGCCAGCAGCCGCGGUAAUACGAAGGGGGCUAGCGUUGCUCGGAAUUACUGGGCGUAAAGGGCGCGUAGGCGGACAGCUUAGUCAGAGGUGAAAGCCCAGGGCUCAACCUUGGGAUUGCCUUUGAUACUGGCUGUCUUGAGUUUGGGAGAGGUGAGUGGAACUCCGAGUGUAGAGGUGAAAUUCGUAGAUAUUCGGAAGAACACCAGUGGCGAAGGCGACUCACUGGCCCGUUACUGACGCUGAGGCGCGAAAGCGUGGGGAGCAAACAGGAUUAGAUACCCGUGUAGUCC